GCCAGCAAUUACUCCACGUAGAAACUUUCGGUUCCGUCACACCAUUGAGGCUAUGCUACGUCGGGCCGGGUUAGUACAAUUGUUGGUGACGGAUGAGGAAGGCUCGGGGUCGCUGGCC
RNAcentral lists this ribosomal RNA (118 nucleotides) under Echinococcus granulosus. Lineage: Eukaryota; Metazoa; Platyhelminthes; Cestoda; Cyclophyllidea; Taeniidae. The record is from RNAcentral.